Molecule: transfer RNA, 73 nt
Organism: Camelus ferus (Wild Bactrian camel)
Lineage: Eukaryota; Metazoa; Chordata; Mammalia; Artiodactyla; Camelidae
Rfam family: tRNA
About the family: Transfer RNA (tRNA) molecules are approximately 80 nucleotides in length. Their secondary structure includes four short double-helical elements and three loops (D, anti-codon, and T loops). Further hydrogen bonds mediate the characteristic L-shaped molecular structure. tRNAs have two regions of fundamental functional importance: the anti-codon, which is responsible for specific mRNA codon recognition, and the 3' end, to which the tRNAs corresponding amino acid is attached (by aminoacyl-tRNA synthetases). tRNAs cope with the degeneracy of the genetic code in two manners: having more than one tRNA (with a specific anti-codon) for a particular amino acid; and 'wobble' base-pairing, i.e. permitting non-standard base-pairing at the 3rd anti-codon position.
Source: Rfam
GAGGGUAUAGCUCUGGUGGUGGAGCGUGUGCUUAGCAUGCAGGAGGUCCUGGGUUCAAUCCCCAGUACCUCCA